This 96-nucleotide non-coding RNA is filed under the name Candidatus Roizmaniibacteriota. Its description in RNAcentral is "Candidatus Roizmanbacteria SAM-I sequence". It matches the Rfam family "SAM riboswitch aptamer (S box leader)". Rfam says of the family: The SAM riboswitch is found upstream of a number of genes which code for proteins involved in methionine or cysteine biosynthesis in Gram-positive bacteria. The SAM riboswitch acts at the level of transcription termination control. The record is from RNAcentral.
UGUUUAUCAAGAGUGUGGGGAGAGGUUUGACUCUUUGAUCCACCGGCAUCCUGAACAAAAUUUUGUUUAAGGUGCUUCAGUCAAAAUCGAUAAAUA